GUUGUCGUGGCCGAGUGGUUAAGGCGAUGGACUGUAAAUCUUUUGGGAUCUCCCGCGCAGGUUCUAAGCCUGUCGACAUCG
Molecule: transfer RNA, 81 nt
Filed under: Dreissena polymorpha
Lineage: Eukaryota; Metazoa; Mollusca; Bivalvia; Myida; Dreissenidae
Rfam family: tRNA
About the family: Transfer RNA (tRNA) molecules are approximately 80 nucleotides in length.
Source: Rfam by way of RNAcentral